This 97-nucleotide signal recognition particle RNA is filed under the name Bifidobacteriaceae bacterium. RNAcentral's name for it is "signal recognition particle sRNA small type". It matches the Rfam family "Bacterial small signal recognition particle RNA". From Rfam's summary of the family: The signal recognition particle (SRP) is a universally conserved ribonucleoprotein involved in the co-translational targeting of proteins to membranes. Lineage: Bacteria; Bacillati; Actinomycetota; Actinomycetes; Bifidobacteriales; Bifidobacteriaceae. The record is from RNAcentral.
AAAGACCCCUCGUGCGGCGGCAACUCGCUGAACUCCCCCAGGGCCGGAAGGCAGCAAGGGCAGGCGGGCUCUACCGGGUGCACGGGGGGUUUCCCUU